AAAAAAUUUAAAAAAAAGCAUUUUUCAUCUGUUUAUAUAUAUGAUGCUAAUAAUUUCAACAGUUUAGAUAAACAAAAUAAUUAUUGAAUUCCUAAAUUAAACAUUAAAUCAGUUUCCGCCAACAAAAAAGUGGUACAUGUAUAUGAAUAAGUUGUGUAAUUUAAGAAAAAUCCAAUACCAACAUAGUUAGGUGUUGCUGGACGGUCUGCAAUUUUGACCACCCAAAUAUUGGCAUAGUUUUAGAUUUCAAGGUCCCACAAGCAAAAUGAGCAGAGAGCAUUACCUAAAGCAAAAAACAGCUUCUUUGCUCCCACAAGCAAUUCUCAUUACCUGACCCCCACAGUCCCUCCACUACUUGUUUGCAUCCGAGUUGAUAAUUCAAUGACAAAGAACAUAAGAUGCAACAACUGAAUCUAAACCUAUGUGUAAGCAGAAAGAAUGUAGUUCAAAAUUCUCAAAAUACAUACCUGAAUGGAAUGUCCUCUGCUAGCUUCUUGGUUCCAAUCUAAUUACAAUGUGAACCGUGCAGUUUUAAACCACCUCUUACCCUUAAUCCACACGAGACUUAAAUAUUCACAUAUGGAUCUAAAUAUUUUUCAUUUAGAAGGGAUUGAAAGGAAAAAUCCUGAAUGUGCUAAAUUUCAGGUCAAUUUUGGGUUUGAAUAUGCAGGACUUGUUAGGUUCAAGUUAUAUUUACCACAGGG
Molecule: unclassified non-coding RNA, 704 nt
Filed under: Hevea brasiliensis (rubber tree)
Lineage: Eukaryota; Viridiplantae; Streptophyta; Magnoliopsida; Malpighiales; Euphorbiaceae
Source: RNAcentral